UACAGAGGUCUCAAGCGUUGUUCGGAUUCAUUGGGCGUAAAGGGUGCGUAGGUGGCAGGGUAAGUCGGGAUGUGAAAUCCCGGGGCUCAACCUCGGAACUGCAUUCGAUACUGCUUUGCUGGAGUACUGGAGAGGAGAUUGGAAUUUACGGUGUAGCAGUGAAAUGCGUAGAUAUCGUAAGGAAGACCAGUGGCGAAGGCGGAUCUCUGGACAGUUACUGACACUGAGGCACGAAGGCCAGGGGAGCAAACGGG
Molecule: ribosomal RNA, 254 nt
Filed under: uncultured bacterium
Lineage: Bacteria
Description: partial 16S ribosomal RNA
Rfam family: Bacterial small subunit ribosomal RNA
Source: RNAcentral